This 717-nucleotide ribosomal RNA is filed under the name uncultured bacterium. RNAcentral describes it as "bacterial SSU rRNA". It matches the Rfam family "Bacterial small subunit ribosomal RNA", at positions 335 to 1046 of the family's 1533-position model. The record is from RNAcentral.
ACUCCUACGGGAGGCAGCAGUGGGGAAUUUUGGACAAUGGGGGGAACCCUGAUCCAGCCAUGCCGCGUGCAGGAUGAAGGCCUUCGGGUUGUAAACUGCUUUUGUACGGAACGAAAAGGUCUUUUCUAAUAAAGAAGGCUGAUGACGGUACCGUAAGAAUAAGCACCGGCUAACUACGUGCCAGCAGCCGCGGUAAUACGUAGGGUGCGAGCGUUAAUCGGAAUUACUGGGCGUAAAGCGUGCGCAGGCGGUUAUGCAAGACAGAUGUGAAAUCCCCGGGCUCAACCUGGGAACUGCAUUAGUGACUGCAUAGCUAGAGUGCGGCAGAGGGGGAUGGAAUUCCGCGUGUAGCAGUGAAAUGCGUAGAUAUGCGGAGGAACACCGAUGGCGAAGGCAAUCCCCUGGGCCUGCACUGACGCUCAUGCACGAAAGCGUGGGGAGCAAACAGGAUUAGAUACCCUGGUAGUCCACGCCCUAAACGAUGUCAACUGGUUGUUGGGGAUUUACUUCCUCAGUAACGAAGCUAACGCGUGAAGUUGACCGCCUGGGGAGUACGGCCGCAAGGUUAAAACUCACAGGAAUUGACGGGGACCCGCACAAGCGGUGGAUGAUGUGGUUUAAUUCGAUGCACGCGAAAACCUUACCCACCUUUGACAUGUACUGAAGAUCGCAGAGACGCGAUUGUGCUCGAAAGACAGCCGUAACACAGUGCUGCAU